UUUCUGUUUACUCCCUUUAUUGUAGAACAUCGGCGUAAAUACGAAUGCAAAGAGUCUGGAUGCCUGGCUUUGAAAGUAUUUCAUGGUCAGUGGAAAAAAAUGAGGAAGAGGAGGGUGUGGCUGCUGCCCGGAGAGUCUGGCCAUGCAGAUGGGGCUGCUGGAGGCUAAGCUUUGGGAGAUGCGGUCCUUGAUCUUUACAAAAUGAAGACUUCUUUUAGGUAAAACAGAAAUAUUUUAUCAGAAAUCAAGUGGGCAUAUAAUCUUACUGAUUUUUUUUUUUUUAAUGCAGAUGACAGAUGGUCAGUUGUUCUCACUUAAGGUUGGCGGCUUUAUGUGCAUUUUGUUUUGCCUCAAAUUACUCAGCUCUUUCAUGAAUCAUGACAAAACCCACAAAAAUUAGUUUCAACUUUUUUUUUAGA
This 419-nucleotide long non-coding RNA is filed under the name Dromaius novaehollandiae (emu). Its description in RNAcentral is "lncRNA (ENSDNVG00000001563.1)". Lineage: Eukaryota; Metazoa; Chordata; Aves; Casuariiformes; Dromaiidae. The record is from RNAcentral.